GUAUCUGGCUCAGGAUAAACGCUGGCGGCGCACAUAAGACAUGCAAGUCGAACGGGAAGUCGUUAUAAAAAGGAUUGAAGAUUUAUCUGAUUGAGAUUUUAUAACAAUGGCUUUAGUGGCGGACUGGUGAGUAACGCGUGAGCAACCUGCCUACUAGAGGGGAAUAACAGUGAGAAAUCAUUGCUAAUACCGCAUAUGCCAUGACAUCACAUGAUGAAAAUGGGAAAAGAG
RNAcentral lists this ribosomal RNA (231 nucleotides) under uncultured bacterium. RNAcentral describes it as "partial 16S ribosomal RNA". It matches the Rfam family "Bacterial small subunit ribosomal RNA", at positions 15 to 209 of the family's 1533-position model. The record is from RNAcentral.